This 69-nucleotide transfer RNA is filed under the name Anolis pachypus. Its description in RNAcentral is "tRNA-Tyr". The record is from RNAcentral. Lineage: Eukaryota; Metazoa; Chordata; Lepidosauria; Squamata; Anolidae.
GAUAAAGAAAGGAAUUAAACCAAUGUUUACAGGACUACAGCCUGCCGCCUAUCAUUCGGCCACUUUACC